GGAUGUGAGGGUGAUCUGGCUGCGACUUCCAUUGCCCAUUGAUCGCCAGGGUUGAUUCGGCUGAUCUGGCUAGCUAGGCAAGUGUCCCCUCCCUCCCUCAUCGGUCCAUGCACACACCCCUGUCAGUACGCCUUUGAGCCAAUGCCAACGACUGGGCUCAACAACAGGAUCUGCCCCGACUGGGCUAGGUGACUGGUGUACUUCCAGAGACCUUCCACUCCUCUAAAGCAGGUCUAAGUGCACAGGACGCACAACUGUGAGUUGUGAGCACCAAACUCAGCAG
RNAcentral lists this small RNA (283 nucleotides) under Podarcis lilfordi (Lilford's wall lizard). Its description in RNAcentral is "7SK RNA". It matches the Rfam family "7SK RNA". Rfam says of the family: 7SK was discovered as an abundant small nuclear RNA in the mid-70s but a possible function has only recently been suggested. Two independent studies have found that 7SK RNA binds the CDK9/cyclin T complex (known as elongation factor P-TEFb). The record is from Rfam by way of RNAcentral. Lineage: Eukaryota; Metazoa; Chordata; Lepidosauria; Squamata; Lacertidae.